GGGGAUAUAACUCCAUUGGUAGAGUGCUUGCCUUGCAUGCACAAGGCCCUGGGUUCAAUUCCCAGCACCA
RNAcentral lists this transfer RNA (70 nucleotides) under Ictidomys tridecemlineatus (thirteen-lined ground squirrel). RNAcentral describes it as "Spermophilus tridecemlineatus (thirteen-lined ground squirrel) tRNA". It matches the Rfam family "tRNA". Rfam says of the family: Transfer RNA (tRNA) molecules are approximately 80 nucleotides in length. Their secondary structure includes four short double-helical elements and three loops (D, anti-codon, and T loops). Lineage: Eukaryota; Metazoa; Chordata; Mammalia; Rodentia; Sciuridae. The record is from Rfam by way of RNAcentral. RNAcentral also lists the same sequence under 1 other name.